Cydia splendana is the source of this 488-nucleotide long non-coding RNA. RefSeq lists it as uncharacterized. The transcript has 3 exons. The record is from RefSeq and is a predicted model, not a curated record. NCBI's taxonomy places the organism in Eukaryota, Metazoa, Arthropoda, Insecta, Lepidoptera, Tortricidae.
GUAUUUUGUUUCAAGUGGUAUUAGUCGCGCGUCGCCACAGUGUUGUCAACGCAUUUAAUAUUGGUUCAUUGGACCUCAUGUAUCCCAGACAGUUACUCUGGUUUCUUAUUUGCGCAAUAUCCGUUCAAUCUCAUCUAGUGCCACCGGAGGAUACGGAGGGACACGAUCAGCUAAAGAAGUGGUGCGAGUACGCAUACUCAUGUUUCCACGACAAGGUGUAUGUGUGCGGGCGCGGCGCCAUGCAGACGCGCACCUUCCUGGACGUCUGCGACAUGUACGAGUACUCCUGCGAGACCAAUCAGAUUUUCAUUAAGAUUAAGGAGACAGACACUGAACCACGGUGUCCGGAUCCAGGGCGGUUGGGCUGAGAUGAAAAAACGUGUCUUAAUUAUCAUUAAGUACCUAUAAAUAUUUUUUACUGUUUCUAGACAGCUUACUCUUAUAACAAGCAAAUAUUUAUUUAUAAUUAAAACGCUCAGUUUGCGAUG